UACGAAGGGGGCUAGCGUUGCUCGGAAUCACUGGGCGUAAAGGGUGCGUAGGCGGGUCUUUAAGUCAGGGGUGAAAUCCUGGAGCUCGACUCCAGAACUGCCUUUGAUACUGAGGAUCUUGAGUUCGGGAGAGGUGAGUGGAACUGCGAGUGUAGAGGUGAAAUUCGUAGAUAUUCGCAAGAACACCAGUGGCGAAGGCGGGUUGCUGGGCCGACACUGACGCUGAUGCGCGAAAGCCAGGGGAGCGAACGGG
This 253-nucleotide ribosomal RNA is filed under the name uncultured bacterium. RNAcentral's name for it is "partial 16S ribosomal RNA". It matches the Rfam family "Bacterial small subunit ribosomal RNA", at positions 524 to 776 of the family's 1533-position model. The record is from RNAcentral.